RNAcentral lists this ribosomal RNA (406 nucleotides) under uncultured bacterium. RNAcentral's name for it is "partial 16S ribosomal RNA". It matches the Rfam family "Bacterial small subunit ribosomal RNA", at positions 30 to 526 of the family's 1533-position model. The record is from RNAcentral.
AUUGAACGCUGGCGGCAGGCCUAACACAUGCAAGUCGAACGAGUGGCGGACGGGUGAGUAAUGUAUGGGAACCUGCCUGAUGGAGGGGGAUAACUACUGGAAACGGUAGCUAAUACCGCAUACCAUCGGAUGUACCCAGAUGGGAUUAGCGUGUGGGUGGGGUAACGGCUCACCCAGGCGACGAUCCCUAGCUGGUCUGAGAGGAUGACCAGCCACACUGGAACUGAGAAACGGCCCAGACUCCUACGGGAGGCAGCAGUGGGGAAUAUUGCACAUUGGGCGCAAGCCUGAUGCAGCCAUGCCGCGUGUAUGAAGAAGGCCUUAGGGUUGUAAAGUACUUUCAGCGGGGAGGCGUUACCCGCAGAAGAAGCACCGGCUAACUCCGUGCCAGCAGCCGCGGUAAUUC